RNAcentral lists this ribosomal RNA (674 nucleotides) under uncultured Glomeromycotina. RNAcentral describes it as "SSU rRNA". It matches the Rfam family "Eukaryotic small subunit ribosomal RNA", at positions 427 to 1105 of the family's 1831-position model. The record is from RNAcentral. Lineage: Eukaryota; Fungi; Glomeromycota.
AGCAGGCGCGCAAAUUACCCAAUCCCGANAGGGGGAGGUAGUGACAAUAAAUAACAACACAGGGCUCUUUUGGGUCUUGUUAUUGGAAUGAGUACGAUUUAAAUCUCCAAACGAGGAACAAUUGGAGGGCAAGUCUGGUGCCAGCAGCCGCGGUAAUUCCAGCUCCAAUAGCGUAUAUUAAAGUUGUUGCAGUUAAAAAGCUCGUAGUUGAAUUUCAGGCCUGGCUGGACGGUCCGCCCUUCGGGUGAGUACUGUCUGUGGUCGGGUCCUACCUUCUGGCGAAGCGUCAUGGCCUUAACCGGCCGUGGCGGGGAACCAGGACUUUUACUGUGAAAAAAUUAGAGUGUUCAAAGCAGGCAAUCGCUUGGAUACAUUAGCAUGGAAUAAUGGAAUAGGACAAUGGUUCUAUUUGUUGGUUUCUAGGACCGUUGUAAUGAUUAAUAGGGAUAGUUGGGGGCAUUAGUAUUCAAUUGUCAGAGGUGAAAUUCUUGGAUUUAUUGAAGACUAACUACUGCGAAAGCAUUUGCCAAGGAUGUUUUCAUUAAUCAAGAACGAAAGUUAGGGGAUCGAAGACGAUCAGAUACCGUCGUAGUCUUAACCAUAAACUAUGCCGACUAGGAAUCGGGCGAUGUUGACAAAAUGACGCGCUCGGCACCUCAUGGGAAACCAAAGUG